GACGAACGCGGCGGCGUGCCUAAUACAUGCAAGUCGAACGAGAGCGACCGGUGCUUGCACUGGUCAAUCUAGUGGCGAACGGGUGAGUAACACGUGGGUAACCUGCCCAUCAGAGGGGGAUAACAUUCGGAAACGGAUGCUAAAACCGCAUAGGUUCUUUAGUCGCAUGACUGAAGAAGGAAAAGAGGCUUCGGCUUCUGCUGAUGGAUGGACCCGCGGUGCAUUAGCUAGUUGGUGAGGUAACGGCUCACCAAGGCCGUGAUGCAUAGCCGACCUGAGGGGGUGAUCGGCCACAUUGGGACUGAGACACGGCCCAAACUCCUACGGGAGGCAGCAGUAGGGAAUCUUCCGCAAUGGACGCAAGUCUGACGGAGCAACGCCGCGUGAGUGAAGAAGGAUUUCGGUUCGUAAAACUCUGUUGUUAGAGAAGAACAGCGCAUAGAGUAACUGUUAUGCGUGUGACGGAU
Molecule: ribosomal RNA, 467 nt
Filed under: Granulicatella elegans
Lineage: Bacteria; Bacillati; Bacillota; Bacilli; Lactobacillales; Carnobacteriaceae
Description: bacterial SSU rRNA
Rfam family: Bacterial small subunit ribosomal RNA
Source: RNAcentral